Molecule: long non-coding RNA, 1879 nt
Filed under: Apteryx haastii (Great spotted kiwi)
Lineage: Eukaryota; Metazoa; Chordata; Aves; Apterygiformes; Apterygidae
Description: lncRNA (ENSAHAG00000016172.1)
Source: RNAcentral
AUGGUGAGGCCUCGGCAGCGAGCAAUGGUACGUGACCCACAGCCGGGGGGUGAGGAGGGCAGCUGCCCUCAGCCGGGAGAAGGGGAAACUGAGGCACGGGCAAGGCAACACGGCUUUGCCACAGAGCUGCCAGAAUCCAAGCCAGGAAUAUUUAAAACCUCUGGAGCAUUAACACUGCCACCAGCCCAAAAAAACCAAAGCCAGCAGUGCUCCGAACGGGAGGCCCUGGGUUCCCGGGAGCCCCAACGCAUGUGCAGCCCCAGCCCUGACCGGUUCAGCGUCAAGGCCCAGGGGCAGCCGGGCUCCCCUUCCCCAGGGUCCCUGCUCCCAAAGGGACCGGGAGCGAGGCCGGACCCUUUCCGAUUCAGCCAGGGGCUCCGACCCCUCAGGCAGUGGGCUGCCGGGGGAGCAUCCCUGCCCUCUGCCCACAGGGCUGAGAUGCCAGCGGGGUGCGGGGGUCUCCUCACCACGGCAGGACACGGCAAGGACAUGGGCUGGGAUGUGACACACAGCACAAGCAGAAAGAGGUUCCAGGGGACGCGGAGGAACCGGCUGUGGCUCUCCAGCCUGCCCCGGCCAUGCCCGCCCCGGGCCCGGCCUCCUCCUGCCAGGGCCGUCUCCACUCUCACAAGAGGCGAAAAAGCACCAGGGCUCAGCAGAUAUCUGCUGCCUUGUCCUUCCCGGCCGGCUCCGGGGGAAGCGAGGUGCCAGAGCAUGGCCCCAUCUCCCCGGCAUGGGGAACAAGGGGGUGACCCCAUCAGAGGGGACGGGAGCCCCUCCUCACCCCCCUCUGCCAUGGCCCCAGCUCACACACAUGCUGCCCCCAGCCCCAGGCCCGUGCAAGGACCCCUUCCAUCACUGCGAGCAGGAUUUCGAUGAGAAACGAGGUUUCUGAGCGCUGGGGAGAGACUCUGGCCCACUGCAUCCCUGCUGCGAUGGAGCUGCUGGCAGGGAGAGAAAAACAGGCCCGGAGGAUGGAAAAGGGAUCGAUGUGGGGGAAGCCAGCUCGGGGAAAAAUAGAUAUCUAUCUCAUUAAAAAUGGAUGCUAAAGUGAGUCCUCCCCACUCCAAAGCCACCUCCCUCUCUCUUCCUGGUAGCCGGAGUGAAAUCAGCACCGAGCUUCCCGAGGAGGGGAAAUGCCAGCACGACACAGCUCCCGCUCGGCGCCCACCGAGCGCCGCUGCCACCCCCUGCCGUGCUGCCGAGCCCCACGGGGCUGCCGGGGGGACGCCACGGCUCCGAGCCCGGCAGCCCCCCGCGCCACCCGGGCAGGGGGGUGUUGAGCAGCCCUUUUGCCAGGCGCAUCCCCGAGGGCGGCCUGUCACCGAGACCGUCACGCUCCAGCCUCUGCCACCCCAGGCACUGCUACCCUCUCGCCACUGCCACGCUGGGACUCGGGGCCGGAGCUGGGAGGUCGUGGCCAGCCGGGCCGUGGCAGGGCUGAGCGAGCCCUCGCGGUGCUGCCAGGCCCAGCCGUCCCCGCAGGCGCUACCUGGCGGGGGCUUGGUCCUGGCGGGGGCCGUGCACCCACGCAUGGCCUGGGCCAAGCACUUUACAGAGCCACAGGGGUGAAGCCUGGGUGCCCGCAGGUGCCACCGCCCCAGCAGAGGCUGCAGGGCUCCGGCUGCAGCUCCCGAGCCCGGCGGCCCCCGUGCCUCAGUUUCCCCCCAGCCGAGAGGAGCAGUCCCCAGGGCCUGGGGCAGCCUGCCGGCCGCGGGCAGCUCUGUGCCAGCACGCAGCCCCGCAGGGCCACGCCAGCCGCUGGCCCCCGUCGAGGAGCCGGAGCUUGCCCUGCUGCCUGCCCGGGACUCACCCCCGCCGCGGCCAGCCUGGUCGUGGUCAGCAGCCUGGGAUGCCCACGAGCGCCGGUGGGCACCCA